This 496-nucleotide ribosomal RNA is filed under the name uncultured bacterium. Its description in RNAcentral is "partial 16S ribosomal RNA". It matches the Rfam family "Bacterial small subunit ribosomal RNA", at positions 29 to 507 of the family's 1533-position model. The record is from RNAcentral.
AUGAACGCUGGCGGCGUGCCUAAUACAUGCAAGUCGCGCGAACAGAUAAGGAGCUUGCUCCUUUGACGUUAGCGGCGGACGGGUGAGUAACACGUGGGUAACCUACCUAUAAGACUGGAAUAACUCCGGGAAACCGGGGCUAAUGCCGGAUAACAUUUAGAACCGCAUGGUUCUAAAGUGAAAGAUGGUUCUGCUAUCACUUAUAGAUGGACCCGCGCCGUAUUAGCUAGUUGGUAAGGUAACGGCUUACCAAGGCAACGAUACGUAGCCGACCUGAGAGGGUGAUCGGCCACACUGGAACUGAGACACGGUCCAGACUCCUACGGGAGGCAGCAGUAGGGAAUCUUCCGCAAUGGGCGAAAGCCUGACGGAGCAACGCCGCGUGAGUGAUGAAGGUCUUCGGAUCGUAAAACUCUGUUAUUAGGGAAGAACAAAUGUGUAAGUAACUGUGCACGUCUUGACGGUACCUAAUCAGAAAGCCACGGCUAACUACGUG